CUAAAAAAUACUGUAGUUCAUAUUGAUAUAUAAUGGCAAUUAGGAAGAUAGAGAAGCUGAAGGGUUUCAGCAUAUGCCUCAGGGGAUGGGGUUCUUAUAUUGGUCCUUUGAUUUGGAGAGAUGUGAAUAAUUGGAAGUUUUUAUUGUUUUUCAUGAGGGGUUGCCUUUGCAAAGCAUUUGAUCCAUUUGUAUUCUUGCACUGGUGGGUCCAAUGACUUGCGCCAGCAUUUAGAGGUUGAAGCCCAUAAUGGUCAAGUUAAUGACCUGGCUUUUGCUUAUCCAAACAAACAGCUAUGUGUAGUGACGUGCGGAGAUGAUAAGUUGAUAAAGGUUUGGGAUUUAACGGGCCGAAAGCUAUUUAACUUUGAAGGGCACCCAGCGGCUGUAUAUUCUGUAUGUCCUCAUCAGAAAGAGAAUAUUCAGGUA
Camellia sinensis is the source of this 426-nucleotide non-coding RNA. The record is from RefSeq and is a predicted model, not a curated record. Lineage: Eukaryota; Viridiplantae; Streptophyta; Magnoliopsida; Ericales; Theaceae.